Molecule: non-coding RNA, 31 nt
Filed under: Rattus norvegicus (Norway rat)
Lineage: Eukaryota; Metazoa; Chordata; Mammalia; Rodentia; Muridae
Source: RNAcentral
UGAUCCAGACCAAGGACGUAAGGGUGAGAGC